AAAUAUUUUUGUAUGAUUCCAUCUGCUUAGCCUUGAUGUCGUUGCUUUUGUCAUACGGGAUCUGCUUUCCUCAGAAUUCGAGGCGAGGCUCCUCUCUCUUCGCUCUUUGAUCUUUCUUAUGUUAGUAAGGAGUUUCAUGUGCUCUUCAGGCAUCACCUCUUUUACAGCAUCCAAUCCACACUUCUUGAUAAGCAUUUCAAUAAGCAGUUUAACCUUGGCUUUGAAAUGGUUCUUGGUACUAUUUUGCCAACCAAGAAGGGCCUCUACCAUGUUCCUUAAAUGUGCUUGCAAUCCAUCGGCCGUCGAUUUUGUGACCAGUACCUUCAACAGCCCUAAAUUAGCCUUAAUUAUUUCUUUGUUCUCUCUUUUAAGGAGAAGAAAUGUUGAUGGUAGGACACUGUAAGCAGCAGAAACAAGGUCUGAAAAUUCAUAAGCCAGUCGAGCAAGGCCUUUAACCGCUGCACUGAUCAUAUGAGGUGUUUCCCCGGCAAGACCCCCAGCAAUCAUAUUAAAAAACUGAUGCAGGUGCUCCUUUCUGCCACCUUUGUCUUCAUCUGCACAAGCAUGGCCAAUCUUGACAAGAAUCUCGUACGCUCGGUUCCUUGUUUUCUUGUUAGCCUCUUUGAGUGCAAGCAAAAUUUCAGUCAUAAAAGAAGUAAUACUGUCACGCCUCCUCUGUUCUGAUUCAUCCUUCGUAACAUGGACAAUCAAAAAGUAUAGGCAGUCAAGUCUGUGACGCUUGGCUGGAAAAUGACAUGCAGGUAGUGCUUCAAUCAUCAAAUUAAGCAACUCUUCGGUCUUCGUGGAAAUAAAUUCAUCACAGUCCUGAAGGAUCAUGGAGAGAACUUUAUAUGCCUUCUUCUGGAUCAAGCCUUCCUCAUCCUUUAAAGCAGGCUUUAAAGCACCAAACAGCACACCAAUUUCUUGAGCGUUUAAACCAGGCAAGAAUGAAACUGCCAGAUCAAAUAACUGUGCCCUCUCUGACAAAGAACUUUUACUGGAUGAGUCAUCAAUCUGCAUUGAAUGCGAUUUUUUGUCCUUCCCUGCCUCCCCAGCUUCUUGGGUCACCUCCAAAAGCCUCUGCAUGAUUUUCGUAAAUAGCACUCUUACCACCCUUCUUUUUCCUUUGGUUUGGUCGAGACUCUUUUCUCUAACUUUGUCAGCAAUAGAGGCCAAUACACCAAUUGUUCUCUGCAAAAAUCCACCAGUAUCUUUAGAGGAUUUCAAGAAGACAUCAUAGAGAACAGGUAGCAGUUUCUGAGCUGAAAGGCUCAAUGUGUUCAAGUUAUUGUCUGCAACUUGCUGGUUGUACCGUGCAAUGGCUCGUUCUCUGGGAACGUUUGUUUCAGUAUCAGACAGAUCAACUGUCCCUUUUAAAAUGCUAUCAUUCUGCUGAACGAGGAUCUGCAAACUGGAGCAUAUUAUCCCACAAACAUCAGGCUCUUCAUGUAGAGCUUUGCGGAAUACCUUCUCCAGAUCCUUGAAGCUUUCAGCAGUGUCGACAGGGUAAUUGCAAAAUGAGGGUAACAGUGACCACAAUGAGUACACAAUUCCAUCAAUAGUUCUUGCUGAAUAUAUCUUUCCCUCGCGCUCAAGCAUUGCAGACCUCUGCUUCAUAGCUCCAACCAUUGGCAAAAUUGAGUUGGUAAAGAAACUUAAAUGCGCACCAACAAUAUUUUGCUUUAGAAUUGGGAAAAGCCAGAUGUUGGACUCUGACAGAUCUUGUACAUCCAGUUUAAGAGGAAGAAGAGUAAGAAAAGAUUCAGGUCCCAUUGCACCAACAGCUGAUCCAACACAUUCGUGCAGCUGUCUACGGAAAGGGAAGUCUUCAUCUGGCAACUUUUCCAUAUCAGCCAAACUCUGUAGUGUUCCCUUCAGAAGGUGAGAAGAAUAGCAACCUAGCUUAUCAAACAUGGCAACCACCACUUGAAAUGACAUGUCCCAAACUGCUGCAUAGUGAUAGGUAAGCAAGCUCUCAAUUGUGGCACAGAUUUUCUCAAUGAUAGUUGGUCCAGAUUUUUUCGCAUCAGUAUUCGAACUAAUUAUGUUAUCCACACCCUGUUUGAUCAAGUUUUCAUCAAUGCAUUCAUGUAUUAAAA
RNAcentral lists this unclassified non-coding RNA (2099 nucleotides) under Hevea brasiliensis (rubber tree). Lineage: Eukaryota; Viridiplantae; Streptophyta; Magnoliopsida; Malpighiales; Euphorbiaceae. The record is from RNAcentral.